Molecule: ribosomal RNA, 429 nt
Filed under: Pseudomonadota bacterium
Lineage: Bacteria; Pseudomonadati; Pseudomonadota
Description: Proteobacteria bacterium partial 16S ribosomal RNA
Rfam family: Bacterial small subunit ribosomal RNA
Source: RNAcentral
UGGGGAAUAUUGGACAAUGGGCGAAAGCCUGAUCCAGCCAUGCCGCGUGUGUGAAGAAGGUCUUCGGAUUGUAAAGCACUUUAAGUUGGGAGGAAGGGCAGUAAGCGAAUACCUUGCUGUUUUGACGUUCCCGACAGAAUAAGCACCGGCUAACUCUGUGCCAGCAGCCGCGGUAAUACAGAGGGUGCAAGCGUUAAUCGGAAUUACUGGGCGUAAAGCGCGCGUAGGUGGUUCGUUAAGUUGAAUGUGAAAGCCCCGGGCUCAACCUGGGAACUGCAUCCAAAACUGGCGAGUUAGAGUAGGGCAGAGGGUGGUGGAAUUUCCUGUGUAGCGGUGAAAUGCGUAGAUAUAGGAAGGAACACCAGUGGCGAAGGCGACCACCUGGGCUCAUACUGACACUGAGGUGCGAAAGCGUGGGGAGCAAACAGG